UGUAGGUGAUCAAAUUCUUAUUAUUCUUAUCGAGUUCGACAAGUUCGCAUCCCGAACCUAGAUACCAAAGUAUCUAUCUGACGGACGCGGUACUCUAUCGGAUCUCCUUAAUGGUGCCUUUACAAUGAAUUUCGGGUUUGAUUUAAUCAAAUUCAGUUCUAUGAUUUCACUAGAUUGUAUCGGUUGUUCUACCUAUCGAACUUCAUAAGUUCCACAUUAAAGACAUCAAUACCUUCACCAAGGUACUCCCUUUCUAAAAGGAAUGCCGAACAAUUUUUGUUCUUUAGCAAGGUAGAAGUUAUAUCCCCUAGAUUCUUUGGGGUUACCAUAUAAAUAAUAUAUAUAAGACCAAGAUCCAAGCUAAUCGAUCUGC
Molecule: long non-coding RNA, 373 nt
Filed under: Elaeis guineensis (African oil palm)
Lineage: Eukaryota; Viridiplantae; Streptophyta; Magnoliopsida; Arecales; Arecaceae
Description: long non-coding RNA (EGUI_LNC048489)
Source: RNAcentral